GAACUCCAGGCCGCCGAGAAGCAGAGCAUGCAAACUUAACCACUGCGCCACUGGGCCGGCCCCAGAGAAAUUCUUAAUUUUAGUAUAGUGGGAGUUAUAAAUCCUUUCCUUUAUGGUUUAUGCUUUUUGUGUCUUAUUUAAGAAAUCUUUCCCUAUUCCAAGUACUUAAGAUAUUUUUCUAUAUUGCUUCUAAUAAUUUCAUAAUUUUGAUUUUCAUGUUUAAAUCUUAAUGCAUCUAGAGUUUAUUUUUAUCACAUGGAUAAUCAAUUUUCCCAGCAUGAUUUAUUCAAACGUUCAUUCUUUUCCCGACUGAUUUGCUUUAAGUUUCCGUAUAUACAUGGAUCUAUUUCUUAGCUCUCUAUUCUGUUCCAUUGGUCUAUUUGUCAAUCUUUCAACUAACACGUUUAUAAAUAUUGAUAUCUAGUAUUCUGGUAAAGCAAGUCCUCCAAUCUGAUACUUCUUUAGAAAUGGCUUAUCUAUUCUUAGUCCUUUGCAUUUCCACAUGGAUUUUAGAAUUGGCUCACUGGGUUUAAAUAUAAAUUGGGAUUUUGACUGGAAUUGCAUCAAAUCUGUAGAUCACUUCAGAUAAGUAAAAUCUUCACAAAAUAAGCCUUCUAACCCAUGAACAUGGUAUAUUUCUCUAUGUAGGUCUUCUGUAAUAUCUUUCGAUAAAGUUUUGUAAUUUCUGUCGUAAAGUACUUGGACACUUAUUACAUUUCACCCUAGAACUUAAUAUUUCCUAAUGCCAUUGUAAAUUUUAUUGAAUUACACUUUCUGUUGCUAUCGUAUAGAAAUAUAGUGACUUUUUAGUAUAUUUCACCCAAUAGGCUUACAAAACUUUAUUAUUAAUUCUAAUAAUUUAUCCAUUAACUAAUUUUCCAAUCGUUAUACAUUUUACUCUUUUUUCUCUUGCCAUAUGACACUUGCUAGAAACUUCAGUCCAAUGUUGAAAGAAAGCAGAUAAUAGACUCUCCUUUUGUUCCGGAUCUUAAGAAAAUGCCUUCAACUUUUCAACAUUGGGUUAUACCAAUAUUUAAAGUGAAGAAACCAUGCUGCUGAGAAGUAAAGCAGCUGCUCAAGAUCAUGAGGCCUCUAAGGGAUAAACCCAGGCUUCAACAUCAAUCCAAGACCCAUGUUCUUUUCUCAAUUGUGUCAGUGCACAAAAAGGUUAACCAGGGAGACUUGAAACAGGCAGAGGCAAGGGAAUACAUUUGGAUUUAAGACACUCUAAAGUGCAGUAAAUAAAAAUAAAAGCCUUUGAGCUUUGCUAAUCCUUCAGAAAAUCCUGGUAAUCAGCUUCUGAGGGGCAAAUAUAGAUAUAAUCCUUCCUUAAAAUUGCCUGAUGGCUCUCUGCUGCUCACAAGGAUAAAGUCCCAAUUCUCAGCAGGAUACACUUCCAGAUUUAUAAAUAGCCACUCUGUCCCAGAACACCUUCACCUCUGCACUAUUCAUCAUUCCCCAAACUUGUUGUACAUUUUCAUGCUCCUGUGACACUGAGCAUUCAGUCCUUCCCUAUGUUGUACAAUUAAGACUCCUAACCAUUCAUUCACUCAACCAACAAAUACUUAGCAAGAGUCUAGAAUGUGGCAAAAGUUGUGGUAAGCACUGAGGAUACCAUGAUACAGAAAACAGAGUAAGUCCCUGCAUUUUUCAAGGCUUCAGAGAAGAGGAAGCUGCAGGAGAGAAAUAGAGGAGAGAACAGCAGUGUUCUAAUUGUCUUUCCAUAUGCUUUAAUUGAGCUUUUAAUUGGUAAGCUGGGUUAAUCAUCCUGAAGUCCCCUAUCUUCCCUAUCCCUUUACUUCUUGUAUUAGUCAGAGUUCUCCAGAGAAACAGAACCAAUAGGAGGACGAAUAGAUAUAAGUGUAUACUUGUAUACAUGCAUGUAUACAUACAGAUGUAUACAGAGAGAGAGAUAUUUAUUUUAAGGAACAGGCCCAUGUGACUGUGGAGGCUCGGCAAGUCCAAAAUACGAUGACUAGGCCAGCAUGUUGGAGACUCAGGGAAGCAUCGCAGUUUGAGUCCAAAGGCAGUCAGUCUGCUGUAAGAAUUCCUUCUUACUUGGGGGAGGGUGGGGGAGAAAGGUCAGUCUUUGCUCCACUAAGGCUUUCAACUGAUCAGACAAGGCCCACCACCCACAUUAUGGAAGCCAAUCUGCUUUACUCAAAGUCCACCAAUUUAAAUGUUAAUCUCAUCUAAAAAGUACUCUCACAAAAACAUCCAGAACAAUGUUUGACCAAAUAUCUGGGCACAAGGGCUCAGCCAAGUUAACAAAUCAAAUUAACCAUCACACUUCUUAUCCUUCCUAUCUUUCCUACAUCCUUGAAUUCACUUUUUUUUUUUAAAGAGGAGAACUUGUGUAGGAGGCUGGAAAGAGGGCUAGAAAGAAUAAAGGUCAAGGAUAGCCAUCUGAUUCUCUCUUUUUCCUCCAGCUCAAACUGUGAGGACGGUAUGGUUGAGGAAGGACUCAACUGUUCAGCCUGUUUAACCCUGAAACCCCAACAAACAGCAUAGUCUUCACACUCACCUUCCUCAGAAGCUCCUCUUACACGCACAGAUCACUCUGCCAACCUUGCUGCAACUAAGAAAGAAAAGUCUUCUACAGCAGAAUAUGACUUUUCCUUCUUAGGAGAUGAUAAAUAUAAAGUUGUUUGGGAGUUUUGCUCCCUUAUUACAAACCCAAAAGGGCCCACAUAGGACUUUCCACACUAAAAGAAAUUUAGUUUUCAAUCUGGAAUAAUAGAAAUAACAGAAAAUGAUUAUUUAAAGUCCUUUAAAAUAAGAAUAUGGAAAAUAAAAAUAUAGUGAAUACAAAACAAGAGGGCCCUUUUGGGGAUAUUGGCAGCACAUGUGUGUUUGUUUUUCUAAAUAUCUCUUCCAAACAGAUUUUAAAAACCCAAAUGCCAAAUAAAAAAAUGGAUCCUGCUUGUAAAAUCAUGUAAAACAGUUUCUUCAGGAUGGGCAUAAAGCUCAGCUUACCUACAGAGAAAUACCAGUCUAUAAAGCAUUGUAAGAUAAGGGUGCAAACAUACAAAUCUGAAUCCACCUUGGCUCAGCCGAAUAGUUCACCAUCAGAAGAGUUGACACUACCAUCUAGUGGUUCAUUUAGAGAAAAAACAUUUAUACCCUUCAAAGUGUUUCAACUAGAUAGGCAAUCUAGUAAAUAUAAAUGGACUAUUUUGUUCUGAGAGAAAAUAGGCUGAGAGCAAUAAAACAAACACUUAGGUAUACUGUAGGCCAUGGUGGAUGGAUGACCGGCUUGAAAGCUCUAGCUCUGAGUUCUUCUAUUUAUAGCUGUGUGAUUUUGGACAAGCGUUACCUCUCCAAGCUUGUUUCUCAUUUCUAAAAUAACAUGACUGCACUAGAUUGGUGUUUCUCAAGUGGCAAGUUAUAACACAAUAGCCAUACAAUCAACCUCAUGGGUCAUGACGAGAAUUUUUUAAAAUUUAAACAUAACAAAAAGUAUAUCAGAGCAUCACAGGUUGUAAGAGUAUUGCUUGAUGAAGUCAAUAAAUGUACACAUAUGUGUUGUGUGAGUGUGUCUGUGCAUGUGUGUGUUUCCUGGAACACAAUAUAAAAUGUAUCUGUUGCUAUAGGUCACAGCCAAAAAAGUUGGAAAGCCUCAAAAAUUCCUAUCAGCUAUAAACUACACAUUCCUGUGAAUUAUGGCCAUCCGUCCUGCUUCAGAGAACUGACACGGUUUGAGCCUGCUUAAUGUAUAGUCAGAUGUCUGAAAGCCCUGUCUGCUGAGCAGCGGGACGUCUUCCUUUCUCUCUUACAGUAACUCCAAAAGACGCCAAUCAAAACAGAUAGAAACAUUUGCCCAGUUUUGUUUGUGUUUUGUUUUCUUUUUCCAGAGACUACUACCAAUCUUGCUAAUGCGGUGUUUCUCACACUAAUGGUCCAAGGCCCAACUGCCUGAUUCACCUGAGCUGUGUGUAUAAAAUGGAAAUUUUUGCCUCCCCUGUCUCACUGCCAGACCUACUGAAUCAGAACCUCAGGGCAUAGAGUAAUCUGCACCGUCCUCAAGUACCCCAGGUGAUUCUUAUGCGCCCUCAGGUUUGAGAAAUCGUAGUUUAAUCUGCAGUGACAUUUUUGAGAAGAGAGCUCUUAGCAAGUAAUUUUGUUGAUCCCUGUCCAUCCCAACAUCCUCUAUCUGUGCUCUCUCUGUCCUUUCUUCCAUGUACACCUCCCAAAAGGAAAGGAUCCUGCUCAUUCCCAUCUCUGGAGGACAGAUCUCUACUAUCUACAGAGAAUUAGGAUAAUGGAAGCAGCAGUAAUUUCCAGAAAGGGAAGAGGAACCAGUACAAUCAAGGUCCAUUCUGAAUUCCAGCAGAAGAAUCGGGCAGAGGCUUUAGUGUUCAUAGCUGCAUUACUAUUGUAUUUCUUCAAUUCUAAGAUGCACAUUUUGUGGCAUUGUAAUGUUUCUAAAAUUGGGAUUGCAUCUUCUAAUCAAUGUACAAUUUAAUAUAGGAGGUUUUACCUCCUAGAAACAUCUUAUUAAAACAAAGAUAUGUCUUAAACUUGAUUGUGUCCCAGAAUCGAGGAAAUAAAGUAAUUAUGCUGCUGCCAUA
This is a non-coding RNA of Equus caballus (horse), 4571 nucleotides long. The record is from RefSeq and is a predicted model, not a curated record. NCBI's taxonomy places the organism in Eukaryota, Metazoa, Chordata, Mammalia, Perissodactyla, Equidae.